RNAcentral lists this ribosomal RNA (207 nucleotides) under uncultured bacterium. RNAcentral describes it as "partial 16S ribosomal RNA". It matches the Rfam family "Bacterial small subunit ribosomal RNA", at positions 568 to 774 of the family's 1533-position model. The record is from RNAcentral.
CGCGUAGGCGGAUUGGAAAGUUGGGGGUGAAAUCCCGGGGCUCAACCCCGGAACUGCCUCCAAAACUUCCAGUCUUGAGGUCGAGAGAGGUGAGUGGAAUUCCGAGUGUAGAGGUGAAAUUCGUAGAUAUUCGGAGGAACACCAGUGGCGAAGGCGGCUCACUGGCUCGAUACUGACGCUGAGGUGCGAAAGCGUGGGGAGCAAACA